CAGCCGCCGCGGUAAUACGUAGGUGGCAAGCGUUGUCCGGAAUUAUUGGGCGUAAAGGGCUCGCAGGCGGUUUCUUAAGUCUGAUGUGAAAGCCCCCGGCUCAACCGGGGAGGGUCAUUGGAAACUGGGAAACUUGAGUGCAGAAGAGGAGAGUGGAAUUCCACGUGUAGCGGUGAAAUGCGUAGAGAUGUGGAGGAACACCAGUGGCGAAGGCGACUCUCUGGUCUGUAACUGACGCUGAGGAGCAAAGCGUGGGGAGCGAACAGGAUUAGAGACCCGCGUAGUCCCUGUCUCUUAUACC
This 301-nucleotide ribosomal RNA is filed under the name uncultured bacterium. RNAcentral describes it as "partial 16S ribosomal RNA". It matches the Rfam family "Bacterial small subunit ribosomal RNA", at positions 509 to 808 of the family's 1533-position model. The record is from RNAcentral.